This 218-nucleotide ribosomal RNA is filed under the name Glomeromycotina sp. Its description in RNAcentral is "partial small subunit ribosomal RNA". The stretch from base 93 to 218 matches the Rfam family "Eukaryotic small subunit ribosomal RNA", at positions 738 to 864 of the family's 1831-position model. Lineage: Eukaryota; Fungi; Glomeromycota. The record is from RNAcentral.
GGGUCUAUCCAUUGGUCGGGCUUAAAGGUCCGUACUGGUUCGAUGGGUUCCUACCUUCUGAAUAACCGGCAUGCCAUUCAGUUGGUGCGCCGGGGAAGCAGAGCUAUUACCUUGAAAAAAUUAGAGUGCUUAAAGCAGGCUAUUGCUUGAAUAGAUUAGCAUGGAAUAAUAAAAUAGGACGGCAUGGUUCUAUUUUGUUGGUUUCUAGGAUCACCGUA